GAAAAGGAGCAAUCCGCUUUGAGAUGGCCUCGCGUCCGAUUAGCUAGUUGGUGAGGUAACGGCCCACCAAGGCGACGAUCGGUAGCCGGACUGAGAGGUUGAACGGCCACAUUGGGACUGAGACACGGCCCAGACUCCUACGGGAGGCAGCAGUGGGGAAUAUUGCACAAUGGGGGAAACCCUGAUGCAGCAACGCCGCGUGAAGGAAGACGGUUUUCGGAUUGUAAACUUCUGUUCUUAGUGAAGAUAGUGACGGUAGCUAAGGAGCAAGCCACGGCUAACUAC
RNAcentral lists this ribosomal RNA (285 nucleotides) under uncultured bacterium. RNAcentral's name for it is "partial 16S ribosomal RNA". It matches the Rfam family "Bacterial small subunit ribosomal RNA", at positions 201 to 504 of the family's 1533-position model. The record is from RNAcentral.